AGCCUACCUUCACAGACUUGCCAAAAGCUACAAACUGUCCUCCCCAACCAUACAUCCCUAAAAUGCAUCACCAAUCACCAUAAUCAUGUCAACAUGGCACCGUUUGAUAGAAAUCAUAGGUACCAUUUGAUUGUCUUAGUCCAGAAAACCACCAACCAAUAGGCCCAGAAAUUUCAAAAUUGAGUUGACCCAAUGAGGGCAAUGCAGCAAAGUACCCAUGUCUUGAUUAACCUGUAUGGACACCAUCUAAACAAGUCUAUGCUGGCGCAAGCCCUUCCCAAAGUGAGGCUGCAUCAAGCGCACGUACAAACCAUUUUUAGCCAUUAACGAAUCAUGCGUACCUUCCUCAACUAUUCUCCCUCCAUUCAGUACAACAAUGUUGUCGACAUGCCUCAUCAUGGCAGCUCGGUGAGCAAUCAAGAUAGUUGUUUUAUUUCCCAUGAUCAGAGUGUCAAGAGCCUCCUGCACCACUCGGCUAGACUCAGAUUCAAUGGCUGAGCUUGCUUCAUCCAAUAACAAUAUUGGAGCAUUCUUUAAUACGACCCGAGCAAUUGCAAUUCUUUGUUUUUGCCCUGGGGUCAGAUCUACACCUCUCAUUCCAACAUGGGUGUCAUAACCAUGUGGCAAGCUACUAAUGAAAUGAUGUGCAUUGGCUAUUCUUGCUGCCUCUUUCACCUCAGCUUCACUC
RNAcentral lists this long non-coding RNA (688 nucleotides) under Coffea arabica (coffee). Its description in RNAcentral is "long non-coding RNA (CARA_LNC000922)". The record is from RNAcentral. Lineage: Eukaryota; Viridiplantae; Streptophyta; Magnoliopsida; Gentianales; Rubiaceae.